This 253-nucleotide ribosomal RNA is filed under the name uncultured bacterium. Its description in RNAcentral is "partial 16S ribosomal RNA". It matches the Rfam family "Bacterial small subunit ribosomal RNA", at positions 524 to 776 of the family's 1533-position model. The record is from RNAcentral.
UACGUAGGGUGCAAGCGUUAUCCGGAUUCACUGGGUUUAAAGGGUGCGUAGGCGGGUAGGUAAGUCCGUGGUGAAAUCCCUAAGCUUAACUUAGGAACUGCCGAGGAUACUAUCUAUCUUGAAUACUGUGGAGGUGAGCGGAAUAUGUCAUGUAGCGGUGAAAUGCUUAGAUAUGACAUAGAACGCCAAUUGCGAAGGCAGCUCACUACGCAGUCAUUGACGCUGAGGCACGAAAGCGUGGGGAGCAAACAGG